AUUAAUCUGAAGUCCCUGAUUUCAUUUUACUAACAUUCCUGUAAGAAAGAGUGUGGAUUAGUGCCAUUAUUCAGGCUAAUAACAAUAAAAGUUGGCUCUUAACUUCAAGGCUAGGUAGGUUAAGACUGGCAUUCUUAUUUUACUUGUUACAGACUGUGCAGCUGAGGUACUUUAGUAACGUGCCUUCUCUAAAAAGAUACUCAAAGGAUAGAGAUAGUAUUUUUAAAAUUUGUGUCCAAAUAGCACUUACUGCAAUGCAUUAUACCUAAAUAUUUACCAAAAGUUAAAGAAAAUGAGAACCAACAAGGAGAAGUGGAAGACAUGAGAAAAGCUAGGAUGCUGCAGAUGGUACAGACUGCUGUCAAAUAUGGGAGGGAUGGGAGA
This 384-nucleotide long non-coding RNA is filed under the name Marmota monax (woodchuck). The record is from RNAcentral. Lineage: Eukaryota; Metazoa; Chordata; Mammalia; Rodentia; Sciuridae.